GGCAGCCGCCGCGGUAACACCGGCGGCCCGAGUGGUGAUCGUGAUUAUUGGGUCUAAAGGGUCCGUAGCCGGUUUGGUCAGUCCUCCGGGAAAUCUGAUAGCUCAACUAUUAGGCUUUCGGGGGAUACUGCCAGACUUGGAACCGGGAGAGGUAAGAGGUACUACAGGGGUAGGAGUGAAAUCUUGUAAUCCCUGUGGGACCACCUGUGGCGAAGGCGUCUUACCAGAACGGGUUCGACGGUGAGGGACGAAAGCUGGGGGCACGAACCGGAUUAGAUACCCGGGUAGUCCCAGCCGUAAACGAUGCUCGCUAGGUGUCAGGCAUGGCGCGACCGUGUCUGGUGCCGCAGGGAAGCCGUGAAGCGAGCCACCUGGGAAGUACGGCCGCAAGGCUGAAACUUAAAGGAAUUGGCGGGGGAGCACAACAACGGGUGGAAGCCUGCGGUUUAAUUGGACUCAACGCCGGACAACUCACCGGGGGCGACAGCAAUAUGUAGGCCAAGCUCGAAGACUUUGCCUGAAUCGCUGAGGGGUGGUGCAUGG
Molecule: ribosomal RNA, 543 nt
Filed under: uncultured archaeon
Lineage: Archaea
Description: bacterial SSU rRNA
Rfam family: Archaeal small subunit ribosomal RNA
Source: RNAcentral